GGGAAUCUACCCUGAACUGCGGAAUAGCUCCGGGAAACUGGAAUUAAUACCGCAUGUGCCCUGAGGGGCAAAGAUUUAUCGGUUCAGGAUGAGCCCGCGUCGGAUUAGCUAGUUGGUGGGGUAAUGGCCUACCAAGGCGACGAUCCGUAGCUGGUCUAAGAGGAUGAUCAGCCACAUUGGGACUGAGACACGGCCCAAACUCCUACGGGAGGCAGCAGUGGGGAAUAUUGGACAAUGGGCGCAAGCCUGAUCCAGCCAUGCCGCGUGAGUGAUGAAGGCCCUAGGGUUGUAAAGCUCUUUCAGUGGGGACGAUAAUGACGGUACCCACAGAAGAAGCCCCGGCUAACUUCGUGCCAGCAGCCGCGGUAAUACGAAGGGGGCUAGCGUUGUUCGGAAUUACUGGGCGUAAAGCGCACGUAGGCGGAUAUUUAAGUCAGGGGUGAAAUCCCGGGGCUCAACCCCGGAACUGCCUUUGAUACAGGAUGUCUUGAGUCCGGAAGAGGUGAGUGGAAUUGCGAGU
Molecule: ribosomal RNA, 520 nt
Filed under: uncultured bacterium
Lineage: Bacteria
Description: bacterial SSU rRNA
Rfam family: Bacterial small subunit ribosomal RNA
Source: RNAcentral